This 253-nucleotide ribosomal RNA is filed under the name uncultured bacterium. Its description in RNAcentral is "partial 16S ribosomal RNA". It matches the Rfam family "Bacterial small subunit ribosomal RNA", at positions 524 to 776 of the family's 1533-position model. The record is from RNAcentral.
UACGUAGGUGGCACGCGUUAUCCGGAUUUAUUGGGCGUAAAGGGAACGCAGGCGGUCUUUUAAGUCUGAUGUGAAAGCCUUCGGCUUAACCGGAGUAGUGCAUUGGAAACUGGGAGACCUGAGUGCAGAAGAGGAGAGUGGAACUCCAUGUGUAGCGGUGAAAUGCGUAGAUAUAUGGAAGAACACCAGUGGCGAAAGCGGCUCUCCGGUCUGUAACUGACGCUGAGGUUCGAAAGCGUGGGUAGCAAACAGG